Molecule: ribosomal RNA, 497 nt
Filed under: uncultured bacterium
Lineage: Bacteria
Description: bacterial SSU rRNA
Rfam family: Bacterial small subunit ribosomal RNA
Source: RNAcentral
AGAGUUUGAUCAUGGCUACAGGAUGAACGCUAGCGGCAGGCCUAAUACAUGCAAGUCGAACGCUCAGUAGCAAUACUGGGAGUGGCGCACGGGUGCGUAACGCGUACACAAUCUACCUCUAAGCGGGGGACACCUCCUGGAAACGGGGAUUAAUACCGCAUAAUAUGCCGAAGUCGCAUGACUUUGGUAUUAAAGCAGCAAUGCACUUAGAGAUGAGUGUGCGUCCCAUUAGGUAGUUGGUGAGGUAACGGCUCACCAAGCCUAUGAUGGGUAGCCGGUCUGAGAGGAUGGUCGGCCACACGGGCACUGAGACACGGGCCCGACUCCUACGGGAGGCAGCAGUAAGGAAUAUUGGUCAAUGGUGGAAACACUGAACCAGCCAUGCCGCGUGGAGGAAUAAGGUCCUACGGAUUGUAAACUCCUUUUGACGAGGAAGAAAAUGUUAGAUUUAUCUAAUUUUGACGGUACUCGUAGAAUAAGCACCGGCUAACUCCGUG